Long non-coding RNA from Callorhinus ursinus (northern fur seal), 649 nucleotides. RefSeq lists it as uncharacterized. The record is from RefSeq and is a predicted model, not a curated record. Lineage: Eukaryota; Metazoa; Chordata; Mammalia; Carnivora; Otariidae.
UAGUACACAUGGGUCGGGGAGAGCAUGUGUGGGAGAGUUUCAGGGUGGUGCGAUUGCUAUUUAAUACACAAUGAUCAGGGAGACCUGGCCGGUGAGAGGACAUUUCCCUGGAGACCUGUAGGAUUUGGGGAGCCAUCACUCAGGUAUCUACAGAAAUCGUGAUCCAGAGGCAACGAAGAACAAGUGCAAGUGUUUUGCAACGGAGGCCUUCAGGACCCAGCCCAGGUCAGCCAGGUGCUCUGGGGGCCCCUGGGCUCUCUUUUCUGCUCCCCCUUCCCCCCAAGGCCCUCGCCAGAGAGUCAUCCCGUUGAAGACCAGGCCUCUAAGAGAGAGGAGAGGUCCCUGCUCGGCAGUGUCCACUUCCUGCUCCUCAUUCUCCUGAAGGUACCCUUGUUUCUGAUUAUGCUCAGUGCCGUCCUCUGGGUCAACAGGCCUCAGUGGGCAACUUGUGGGACACAGAGUCGGCCUGAUGAAGACAAGCUGCGGCCCUCCUUGAGCAUCCAUAUCCUGUCCAGAGACACUGCCACUCAGACUAGAGGAGGAAGAACUUCUGACCCCAAACCUUCUAUCUCUUCUCACCUUAUUGCCAAAAACUGGUAAAUAAAGAGAAAAUCUUGAAAAAAAUGCAAUAAAAUAUAUCACACACACA